Molecule: ribosomal RNA, 586 nt
Filed under: uncultured fungus
Lineage: Eukaryota; Fungi
Description: eukaryotic LSU rRNA
Rfam family: Eukaryotic large subunit ribosomal RNA
Source: RNAcentral
AUAUCAAUAAGCGGAGGAAAAGAAACCAACAGGGAUUGCCUUAGUAACGGCGAGUGAAGCGGCAACAGCUCAAAUUUGAAAUCUGCCUCUAGGCCGAGUUGUAAUUUGUAGAAGAUGCUUCGGGUGUGGCACCGGUCUAAGUUCCUUGGAACAGGACGUCAUAGAGGGUGAGAAUCCCGUACGUGACUGGCCGCCUUCGCCCGUGUGAAGCUCUUUCGACGAGUCGAGUUGUUUGGGAAUGCAGCUCAAAAUGGGUGGUAUAUUUCAUCUAAAGCUAAAUAUUGGCCAGAGACCGAUAGCGCACAAGUAGAGUGAUCGAAAGAUGAAAAGCACUUUGGAAAGAGAGUUAAACAGUACGUGAAAUUGUUGAAAGGGAAGCGCUUGCAACCAGACUUGCACGCUGUCGAUCAUCCGAGGUUUUCCCCGGUGCACUCGGCGGCGUUCAGGCCAGCAUCGGUUUCAGUGGUUGGAUAAAGGCCUUGGGAAUGUGGCUCCUCCGGGAGUGUUAUAGCCCUCGGUGCAAUGCAGCCUACUGGGACCGAGGACCGCGCUUCGGCUAGGAUGCUGGCGUAAUGGUUGUAAGCGA